AGUGGAAUUUCGGGGACAUAUGGUAACUAUGUUUAACUUUUUGAGGAAUGACCAAAGUAUUUUCCAUAGUGACUGAAUCAUAUUAUAUUCCCAUCAGCAAU
Molecule: microRNA precursor, 101 nt
Filed under: Marmota monax (woodchuck)
Lineage: Eukaryota; Metazoa; Chordata; Mammalia; Rodentia; Sciuridae
Source: RNAcentral